GACGAACGCUGGCGGCGUGCCUAAUACAUGCAAGUUGAGCGCUGAAGGUUGGUACUUGUACCAACUGGAUGAGCAGCGAACGGGUGAGUAACGCGUGGGGAAUCUGCCUUUGAGCGGGGGACAACAUUUGGAAACGAAUGCUAAUACCGCAUAAAAACUUUAAACACAAGUUUUAAGUUUGAAAGAUGCAAUUGCAUCACUCAAAGAUGAUCCCGCGUUGUAUUAGCUAGUUGGUGAGGUAAAGGCUCACCAAGGCGAUGAUACAUAGCCGACCUGAGAGGGUGAUCGGCCACAUUGGGACUGAGACACGGCCCAAACUCCUACGGGAGGCAGCAGUAGGGAAUCUUCGGCAAUGGACGAAAGUCUGACCGAGCAACGCCGCGGGAGUGAAGAAGGUUUUCGGAUCGUAAAACUCUGUUUGUAGAGAAGAGCGGUGGUGAGAGGGGAAAGCUCAUCAAGUGACGGUAACUACCCAGAAAGGGACGGCUAACUACGUG
RNAcentral lists this ribosomal RNA (497 nucleotides) under uncultured bacterium. Its description in RNAcentral is "partial 16S ribosomal RNA". It matches the Rfam family "Bacterial small subunit ribosomal RNA", at positions 28 to 507 of the family's 1533-position model. The record is from RNAcentral.